Molecule: ribosomal RNA, 460 nt
Filed under: uncultured bacterium
Lineage: Bacteria
Description: partial 16S ribosomal RNA
Rfam family: Bacterial small subunit ribosomal RNA
Source: RNAcentral
CCUACGGGUGGCAGCAGUGAGGAAUAUUGGUCAAUGGACGAGAGUCUGAACCAGCCAAGUCGCGUGAAGGAUGAAUGCCCUAUGGGUUGUAAACCUCUUUUAUAAAGGAAUAAAACGAGGCACGUGUGCCUUUUUGCAUGUACUUUAUGAAUAAGGAUCGGCUAACUCCGUGCCAGCAGCCGCGGUAAUACGGAGGAUCCGAGCGUUAUCCGGAUUUAUUGGGUUUAAAGGGAGCGUAGAUGGGUUGUUAAGUCAGUUGUGAAAGUUUGCGGCUCAACCGUAAGAUUGCAAUUGAUACUGGCAGUCUUGAGUACAGGUGAGGUAGGCGGAAUUCGUGGUGUAGCGGUGAAAUGCUUAGAUAUCACGAAGAACCCCGAUUGCGAAGGCAGCUUACUAAACUGUGACUGACAUUGAUGCUCGAAAGUGUGGGUAUCGAACAGGAUUAGAUACCCUUGUAGUC